CCUACGGGAGGCAGCAGUGGGGAAUAUUGCACAAUGGGGGAAACCCUGAUGCAGCGACGCCGCGUGAGCGAUGAAGUAUUUCGGUAUGUAAAGCUCUAUCAGCAGGGAAGAAAAUGACGGUACCUGACUAAGAAGCCCCGGCUAACUACGUGCCAGCAGCCGCCGUAAUACGUAGGGGGCAAGCGUUAUCCGGGUUUACUGGGUGGAAAGGGAGCGUAGACGGUCCUGCAAGCCAGAUGUGAAAGCCCGGGGCUCAACCCCGGGACUGCAUUUGGAACUGUAAGGCUAGAGUGUCGGAGAGGCAGGCGGAAGUCCUAGUGUAGCGGUGAAAUGCGUAGAUAUUAGGAGGAACACCAGUGGCGAAGGCGGCCUGCUGGACGAUGACUGACGUUGAGGCUCGAAAGCGUGGGGAGCAAACAGGAUUAGAUACCCCAGUAGUC
Molecule: ribosomal RNA, 440 nt
Filed under: uncultured bacterium
Lineage: Bacteria
Description: partial 16S ribosomal RNA
Rfam family: Bacterial small subunit ribosomal RNA
Source: RNAcentral